AUGGGGGCAGGCAUAGGGCUCCCUCUCUGGGCUCGCUGCUGUGGGUGAAUGGGCUGAGGAAGGAGACGAAGGAGGAGGUGGAGUGAGUAGAGGGGAAAGCUGUGGCUGGCUGGCUGGCUGUCAGGGGGGUACAGCGAAAGUUACCCUUGACAGGGCAUGGAACAUCCCCUGCACCAUCGAUCCAGCUUUCAGAAUGUCGGCAAACGAGCUACUUAUUCU
This 219-nucleotide long non-coding RNA is filed under the name Hordeum vulgare. RNAcentral describes it as "long non-coding RNA (HVUL_LNC017035)". Lineage: Eukaryota; Viridiplantae; Streptophyta; Magnoliopsida; Poales; Poaceae. The record is from RNAcentral.